This 253-nucleotide ribosomal RNA is filed under the name uncultured bacterium. Its description in RNAcentral is "partial 16S ribosomal RNA". It matches the Rfam family "Bacterial small subunit ribosomal RNA", at positions 524 to 776 of the family's 1533-position model. The record is from RNAcentral.
UACAGAGGUCCCAAGCGUUGUUCGGAUUCAUUGGGCGUAAAGGGCUCGUAGGCGGCCAACUAAGUCGGAUGUGAAAUCCCCAGGCUUAACUUGGGAACUGCAUCCGAUACUGGAUGGCUUGAAUCCGGGAGAGGGAUGCGGAAUUCCAGGUGUAGCGGUGAAAUGCGUAGAUAUCUGGAGGAACACCGGUGGCGAAGGCGGCAUCCUGGACCAACACUGACGCUGAUGAGCGAAAGCCAGGGGAGCAAACGGG